UAGCGCAGGCGGUUUCGCAAGUCAGAUGUGAAAGCCCCGGGCUUAACCUGGGAACUGCAUUUGAAACUACGAGGCUAGAGUGUGUCAGAGGGGGUAGAAUUCACGUGUAGCAGUGAAAUGCGUAGAGAUGUGGAGGAAUACCGAUGGCGAAGGCAGCCCCUGGGAUAACACUGACGCUCAUGCACGAAAGCGUGGGGAGCAAACA
RNAcentral lists this ribosomal RNA (205 nucleotides) under uncultured bacterium. Its description in RNAcentral is "partial 16S ribosomal RNA". It matches the Rfam family "Bacterial small subunit ribosomal RNA", at positions 568 to 774 of the family's 1533-position model. The record is from RNAcentral.